Molecule: ribosomal RNA, 253 nt
Filed under: uncultured bacterium
Lineage: Bacteria
Description: partial 16S ribosomal RNA
Rfam family: Bacterial small subunit ribosomal RNA
Source: RNAcentral
UACAGAGGUGGCAAGCGUUGUUCGGAAUCACUGGGCUUAAAGCGCGUGUAGGCGGCUCGAAAAGCGUCGCGUGAAAUCCCGUAGCUCAACUGCGGAACUGCGCGGCGAACUCCCGAGCUUGAGGCUGGUAGAGGUGCCUGGAACUCUAGGUGGAGCGGUGAAAUGCGUAGAUAUCUAGAGGAACGCCGGAGGCGAAAGCGGGGCACUGGGCCGGUUCUGACGCUGAGACGCGAAAGCGUGGGGAGCAAACAGG